This 1467-nucleotide ribosomal RNA is filed under the name metagenome. RNAcentral's name for it is "bacterial SSU rRNA". It matches the Rfam family "Bacterial small subunit ribosomal RNA". The record is from RNAcentral.
AGAGUUUGAUCCUGGCUCAGGAUAAACGUUGGCGGUGUGCUUUAUGCAUGCAAGUCGUACGAGGCUAUAGUUUUCGGAUUAUAGUUUAGUGGCAAAUGGCUGAGUAAUACAUAGGUAACCUGCCUGUGAGUGGUGGAUAACUUGCUGAAAGGCAAGCUAAUACAGCAUGUGGUGAACAAGGAUUUCUUGUUUAUCAAAGCCUUCGGGCGCUCGCAGAGGGGCCUAUGCCUGAUUAGCUAGUUGGUGAGGUAACGGCUCACCAAGGCUUUGAUCAGUAGCUGGUCUGAGAGGAUGGUCAGCCAGAUGGGGACUGAGAUACGGCCCCAACUCCUACGGGAGGCAGCAGCAAGGAAUAUGGGGCAAUGGGCGAAAGCCUGACCCAGCGACACCGCGUGAGGGAUUAAGGCCUUCGGGUUGUAAACCUCUUUUCUCGAGGAAGAAGCUCUGACGGUACUCGAGGAAUAAGCCACGGCUAACUACGUGCCAGCAGCCGCGGUAAUACGUAGGUGGCAAACGUCCGGAUUUAUUGGGCGUAAAGAGAGUGUAGGCGGCUUAUUAAGUCAAGUGUUAAAUCUUCUGACUCAAUCAGGAGCUGCAUUUGAUACUGGUAGGCUUGAGUGCAGCAGAGGAAAACGGAAUUCCCAGUGUAGCGGUGAAAUGCGUUGAUAUUGGGAAGAACACCAGAGGCGAAGGCGGUUUUCCAGGCUGUGUCUGACGCUGAGACUCGAAAGCGUGGGGAGCGAAGCGGAUUAGAUACCCGCGUAGUCCACGCCUUAAACGGUGGACAUUAGGUAUGGGAAGUAUCGACCCUUUCUGUGCCGUAGCUAACGCUUUAAAUGUCCCGCCUGGGGAGUACGGUCGCAAGGCUAAAACUCAAAGGAAUUGACGGGGGUCCGCACAAGCAGCGGAGCGUGUGGUUUAAUUCGAUAUACACGAAGAACCUUACCAGGGUUUGACAUGUCAGAAGUAGGAAGCCGAAAGGUUUACGACCUGUAUCCAAUCAGGAACUGUCACAGGUGCUGCAUGGCUGUCGUCAGCUCGUGCCGUGAGGUGUUGGGUUAAGUCCCGCAACGAGCGCAACCCUUGUUCUAUGUUAAUUUCUCAUAGAAGACUGCCUUGUACAGCAAGGAGGAAGAGGAGGAUGACGUCAAGUCAGCAUGGCCUUUAUGCCCUGGGCUACACACACGCUACAAUGGGUAAUACAGAGGGUUGCCAAAGAGCGAUCUGGAGCUAAUCCCUUAAAAUUAUCCUCAGUUCAGAUUGUAGGCUGAAACCGCCUGCAUGAAGUCGGAGUUGCUAGUAAUCGCAGGUCAGCUAUACUGCGGUGAAUACGUUCUCGGACCUUGUACACACCGCCCGUCACGUCGUGGAAGUUGGAAACACCUGAAGUCAAUGUGUUAACUUGCUUAGGUAAGAAAUAGUUGUUGAAGGUGGAGCUGAUAACUGUGGCGAAGUCGUAACAAGGCA